This 253-nucleotide ribosomal RNA is filed under the name uncultured bacterium. RNAcentral's name for it is "partial 16S ribosomal RNA". It matches the Rfam family "Bacterial small subunit ribosomal RNA", at positions 524 to 776 of the family's 1533-position model. The record is from RNAcentral.
UACGAAGGGGGCUAGCGUUGCUCGGAAUCACUGGGCGUAAAGCGCACGUAGGCGGCUUUCUAAGUCAGGGGUGAAAUCCUGGAGCUCAACUCCAGAACUGCCUUUGAUACUGGAAAGCUUGAGUUCGGGAGAGGUGAGUGGAACUGCGAGUGUAGAGUUGAAAUUCGUAGAUAUUCGCAAGAACACCAGUGGCGAAGGCGGCUCACUGGCCCGAUACUGACGCUGAGGUGCGAAAGCGUGGGGAGCAAACAGG